GUCUCUUUGGGACAUGCAAUAAAAUUGGAACAAUACAGAGAAGAUCAGGGUGGCCUCUCUGCAUGGAUGAUAUACCCAAAUCAAGAAAUGAUUUAAAUUUUU
Molecule: small nuclear RNA, 102 nt
Filed under: Nicotiana attenuata
Lineage: Eukaryota; Viridiplantae; Streptophyta; Magnoliopsida; Solanales; Solanaceae
Source: RNAcentral